Molecule: ribosomal RNA, 492 nt
Filed under: uncultured bacterium
Lineage: Bacteria
Description: partial 16S ribosomal RNA
Rfam family: Bacterial small subunit ribosomal RNA
Source: RNAcentral
AGUGAACGCUGGCGGUAGGCCUAACACAUGCAAGUCGAACGGCAGCACAGUAAGAGCUUGCUCUUACGGGUGGCGAGUGGCGGACGGGUGAGGAAUACAUCGGAAUCUACUUUUUCGUGGGGGAUAACGUAGGGAAACUUACGCUAAUACCGCAUACGACCUACGGGUGAAAGCAGGGGAUCUUCGGACCUUGCGCGAUUGAAUGAGCCGAUGUCGGAUUAGCUAGUUGGCGGGGUAAAGGCACACCAAGGCGACGAUCCGUAGCUGGUCUGAGAGGAUGAUCAGCCACACUUGAACUGAGACACGGUCCAGACUCCUACGGGAGGCAGCAGUGGGGAAUAUUGGACAAUGGGCGCAAGCAUGAUCCAGCCAUACCGCGUGGGUGAAGAAGGCCUUCGGGUUGUAAAGCCCUUUUGUUGGGAAAGAAAAGCAGCAGGUUAAUACCCCGCUGUUCUGACGGUACCCAAAGAAUAAGCACCGGCUAACUUCGUG